Molecule: long non-coding RNA, 682 nt
Organism: Harmonia axyridis
Lineage: Eukaryota; Metazoa; Arthropoda; Insecta; Coleoptera; Coccinellidae
Exons: 4
Source: RefSeq, a predicted model, not a curated record
AUCAACAGGUUCUUCUGAUCAACUGAAAACUCGAGAAGGCAAUCACUAGGAAUUUGGGCAAAAGGUCCAAAGUAAUCGUCCAAGAUCGGAAAAUAACUUCGAGGCAAUUGUAUAUUACCUCACCUUGAUUAACAGCUUCUAAUAAACUACUAACUCAAGAAGGAGCAAUCACUUGGUAUUUAAGUACACAAUCUUCAAAUGAUGUUCAACUAUUGAACAGCAUUCAACUUGUAUCGAGCUCAACACUAUUCAAUAACCGACACCACACUGCUUAGGAUCCAAAUCCAUCAAACUAAUCAGCAGCAUCUUCUGGUAAACCAAGAACCCGAGAGGACAAUCACUAGAUAUCAUCAAAAUACAUUUUCUAAGAACUGUCCGACUUCCAACACUUCACUUAUUAGUAUCCAAGUCUAUUAAACUAAUCAACAGCUUCUUCUAAUCAACUGAAAACUCGAGAUGGCAAUCACCAGGCAUUCAAACAAAAGGUCGAAAGUAAUAGUCCAAUAUCGGUAAAUAACUACAAGGGCCUCUUGACUAGCAGCUUCUAGUAAACCACUAACUUAAGAAGAGCAAUCACUUGUUAUUAGAGCACACAAUCUUCAAAUAAUGUUCAUCUAUUGAAUAGCAUUCAACUUAUAUCGACUUCAGGACUAUCCAAUCUCCGACACUAAACUGCUUAGGA